Molecule: ribosomal RNA, 254 nt
Filed under: uncultured bacterium
Lineage: Bacteria
Description: partial 16S ribosomal RNA
Rfam family: Bacterial small subunit ribosomal RNA
Source: RNAcentral
GACGUAGGGUGCAAGCGUUAUCCGGAUUUACUGGGCGUAAAGAGCGCGUAGGCGGAUCGUUAAGUGUAGAGUGAAAUCUCCAGGGCUCAACCCGGAAACUGCUCUGCAUACUGGCGAUCUUGAGGGGCACAGAGGCAACUGGAAUUCCUGGUGAAGCGGUGAAAUGCGUAGAUAUCAGGAGGAACUCCCAUGGCGAAGGCAGGUUGCUGGGUGCCAUCUGACGCUGAGGCGCGAAAGCGUGGGUAGCAAACAGG